CUGGCCUGUAAGAUUAUCCAGCUGAACCUCAACCAACGGCCUUUUGCAAACUGAAGACCUGAAUAUUUGGAUCAUUCCCAUCAGGUGGUUAUUAGACUGGGCAAUGAACCUCUCUUUUAAGUCACUUCACGCUCGGGCCUCACUCUAGCUCUACUAAUCCAAGUAAUGAGAAGGAAGUUAGAUAUUUCAAGCUUCUCUGCUACACUCUGCAGAAAGUAUUUUACCCUCUGGACUAAACCUGAAGACUGAGGUAUUGUGAAGAAUAAAAAAAAGCCCCAGUAGUACAACUGCUUGGGUUCAUCACUCUCAAGAUUACCAGCUUUCUUUAGGAACAACAAAGCUGUCAACUUCAAGGGUGAAAAAUAUAAGAGCAGGACACAAUUUUCUCAGCAUCUCAUCCAAACACAGAACUCGCUUCUAAAGGAGUGGCUGCAGGUAUGGUUACAGAUGUCCCUGUUUUCAAAACAGAAGAUAAAGUUUGUGUCUUCAGUUUAAUCUUCAGUUUAAUGUCUCAAUAAA
RNAcentral lists this long non-coding RNA (519 nucleotides) under Struthio camelus australis. RNAcentral describes it as "lncRNA (ENSSCUG00000014838.1)". The record is from RNAcentral. Lineage: Eukaryota; Metazoa; Chordata; Aves; Struthioniformes; Struthionidae.